CAGUAGCCGCGGGAAUACGUAGGUGGCAAGCGUUGUCCGGAAUUAUUGGGCGUAAAGGGCUCGCAGGCGGUUUCUUAAGUCUGAUGUGAAAGCCCCCGGCUCAACCGGGGAGGGUCAUUGGAAACUGGGAAACUUGAGUGCAGAAGAGGGGAGUGGAAUUCCACGUGUAGCGGUGAAAUGCGUAGAGAUGUGGAGGAACACCAGUGGCGAAGGCGACUCUCUGGUCUGUAACUGACGCUGAGGAGCGAAAGCGUGGGGAGCGAACAGGAUUAGAUACCCCAGUAGUCCCUGUCUCUUAUAC
RNAcentral lists this ribosomal RNA (301 nucleotides) under uncultured bacterium. Its description in RNAcentral is "partial 16S ribosomal RNA". It matches the Rfam family "Bacterial small subunit ribosomal RNA", at positions 509 to 807 of the family's 1533-position model. The record is from RNAcentral.